RNAcentral lists this ribosomal RNA (36 nucleotides) under Bryum argenteum. Its description in RNAcentral is "partial 26S ribosomal RNA". RNAcentral also lists the same sequence under 18 other names. The record is from RNAcentral. Lineage: Eukaryota; Viridiplantae; Streptophyta; Bryopsida; Bryales; Bryaceae.
GACCUCUAAUCGGAAAAGACUACCCGCCGAGUUUAA